UGUUUUCUUCUUCUCAGUGUAAAUGAGUUACUUCAAGCUUUCUUUUCUCCCUUAGUACACU
This 61-nucleotide transfer RNA is filed under the name Aptostichus sp. RIV2. RNAcentral describes it as "tRNA-Val". The record is from RNAcentral. Lineage: Eukaryota; Metazoa; Arthropoda; Arachnida; Araneae; Euctenizidae.